UUGCUUUGCCAGUACAUAUAAUAAAAUUUGAACGAUUCAGAGAAGAUUAACAUGGUCCCUGUGUAAGAAUAACAUGCAAAUUCAUGAAGCAUUUCAUAUUUUU
Small nuclear RNA from Monodelphis domestica (gray short-tailed opossum), 103 nucleotides. The record is from Ensembl. NCBI's taxonomy places the organism in Eukaryota, Metazoa, Chordata, Mammalia, Didelphimorphia, Didelphidae.